This 497-nucleotide ribosomal RNA is filed under the name uncultured bacterium. RNAcentral describes it as "partial 16S ribosomal RNA". It matches the Rfam family "Bacterial small subunit ribosomal RNA", at positions 28 to 507 of the family's 1533-position model. The record is from RNAcentral.
GAUGAACGCUGGCGGCGUGCCUAAUACAUGCAAGUCGAGCGAACAGACGAGGAGCUUGCUCCUCUGACGUUAGCGGCGGAAGGGUGAGUAACACGUGGAUAACCUACCUAUAAGACUGGGAUCACUUCGGGAAACCGGAGCUAAUACCGGAUAAUAUAUUGAACCGCAUGGUUCAAUAGUGAAAGACGGUUUUGCUGUCACUGAUAGAUGGAUCCGCGCCGCAUUAGCUAGUUGGUAAGGUAACGGCUUACCAAGGCAACGAUGCGUAGCCGACCUGAGAGGGUGAUCGGCCACACUGGAACUGAGACACGGUCCAGACUCCUACGGGAGGCAGCAGUAGGGAAUCUUCCGCAAUGGGCGAAAGCUUGACGGAGCAACGCCGCGUGAGUGAUGAAGGUCUUCGGAUCGUAAAACUCUGUUAUUAGGGAAGAACAAAUGUGUAAGUAACUAUGCACGUCUUGACGGUACCUAAUCAGAAAGCCACGGCUAACUACGUG